This 72-nucleotide transfer RNA is filed under the name Camelus dromedarius (Arabian camel). It matches the Rfam family "tRNA". Rfam says of the family: Transfer RNA (tRNA) molecules are approximately 80 nucleotides in length. Their secondary structure includes four short double-helical elements and three loops (D, anti-codon, and T loops). RNAcentral also lists the same sequence under 2 other names. Lineage: Eukaryota; Metazoa; Chordata; Mammalia; Artiodactyla; Camelidae. The record is from Rfam by way of RNAcentral.
GGGCAUAUAGCUCAGUGGUAGACCGUAUGCUUAGCAUGCAUGAGGUCCUGGGUUCAAUUCCCAGUCCCUCCA